RNAcentral lists this long non-coding RNA (442 nucleotides) under Danio rerio (zebrafish). Its description in RNAcentral is "lncRNA si:ch211-145d10.7 (ENSDARG00000097585.2)". Lineage: Eukaryota; Metazoa; Chordata; Actinopteri; Cypriniformes; Danionidae. The record is from RNAcentral.
GUUGGAAUUGCCUUCCUGACAGGAGCGAGCUAAUGGCUAGCAACAGGUCUUCUUUAAGUUUAUUCUUACAGGUUGAUCACUCGUACCGUAAAAACGUAAAACAUCUGCUUUGACUCCUCGGAUGUCCACAUCUGCGCUGACUCCACAGACGUUUACAUCUGCACUGUCUUAAAUUAACGAAUCAAUAUCUACAAUCUACAAUGAUUCCACUGGCGUCCACAUCUGCAUUAUCUCCUUAGACAUCAACAUUUGGACUGACUGACCACAGACAUUUAUUAUUCACUAAACUUAUCAAUCACCACCUGUGCUGUGUGUUGAAUUUUUUUCUGGAAUUGUGUAGGAUUGGGACAAUAGUAGAUUUUGACUUUUUAUAAAUGAUAAUAAAUAUGAUUUUUUUAUACAUUUAUUGUUUCCCUUUCUGGAAUAAAGGAAUAUAAACAGC